UACGUAGGGGGCAGGCGUUAAUCGGAAUUACUGGGCGUAAAGCGUGCGCAGGCGGUUUGCUAAGACAGGUGUGAAAUCCCCGGGCCUAACCUGGGAACUGCGCUUGUUACUGGCAGGCUUGAGUGUGGCAGAGGGGGGUGGAAUUCCACGUGUAGCAGUGAAAUGCGUAGAGAUGUGGAGGAACACCGAUGGCGAAGGCAGCCCCCUGGGCUAACACUGACGCUCAUGCACGAAAGCGUGGGGAGCAAACAGG
Molecule: ribosomal RNA, 253 nt
Filed under: uncultured bacterium
Lineage: Bacteria
Description: partial 16S ribosomal RNA
Rfam family: Bacterial small subunit ribosomal RNA
Source: RNAcentral